Molecule: small nuclear RNA, 108 nt
Organism: Bubalus bubalis (water buffalo)
Lineage: Eukaryota; Metazoa; Chordata; Mammalia; Artiodactyla; Bovidae
Source: RefSeq, a predicted model, not a curated record
GUGCUCACUUCAACAGCACAUAUAUUCUAAAAUUGAAAUGAUACAGAGAAGAUUAGCAUGGCCCUGUGCAAGGACGACACACACAUUUGUGGAGCAUUUCACAUUUGU